Molecule: transfer RNA, 74 nt
Filed under: Ipomoea nil (Japanese morning glory)
Lineage: Eukaryota; Viridiplantae; Streptophyta; Magnoliopsida; Solanales; Convolvulaceae
Rfam family: tRNA
About the family: Transfer RNA (tRNA) molecules are approximately 80 nucleotides in length. Their secondary structure includes four short double-helical elements and three loops (D, anti-codon, and T loops).
Source: Rfam by way of RNAcentral
GUCGUUGUAGUAUAGUGGUGAGUAUCCCCGCCUGUCACGCGGGAGAACCCGGGUUCGAUCCCCGGCAACCGGCG